AUUGAACGCUGGCGGCAGGCCUAACACAUGCAAGUCGAGCGAGAAAGGUCUUCGGACUGAGUACAGCGGCGGACGGGUGAGUAAAGCGUAGGAAUCUACCUGGUAGUGGGGGAUAACUUGGGGAAACUCAAACUAAUACCGCAUACGCCCGUACGGGGGAAAGCGGGGGACCUUCGGGCCUCGCGCUAUCAGAUGAGCCUGCGUAGGAUUAGCUAGUUGGUGAGGUAAAGGCUCACCAAGGCGACGAUCCUUAGCUGGUCUGAGAGGAUGAUCAGCCACACUGGGACUGAGACACGGCCCAGACUCCUACGGGAGGCAGCAGUGGGGAAUAUUGCGCAAUGGGCGAAAGCCUGACGCAGCCAUGCCGCGUGUGUGAAGAAGGCCUUAGGGUUGUAAAGCACUUUCAAUUGGGAAGAAAAGUUGGUCGUUAAUAGCGGCCAGCCCUGACAUUACCUUUAGAAGAAGGACCGGCUAACUCCGUGCCAGCAGCCGCGGUAAUGUCG
RNAcentral lists this ribosomal RNA (503 nucleotides) under uncultured bacterium. Its description in RNAcentral is "bacterial SSU rRNA". It matches the Rfam family "Bacterial small subunit ribosomal RNA", at positions 30 to 527 of the family's 1533-position model. The record is from RNAcentral.